AACCAUGCUUGAGUGUGGCAUGUCUGUGAACAUCAUCCAUCGUGUAUGCAUCAUAGGAAGAUAAAAGUCAGCCGCUCUUGACAUCACCAGACCAUACUGGAUGAUAGGUGUGGGGGUCACCACCCACCACUUUCCAUGCAGGCGAUCAGUUCUACAUAAAGAUCCAGGAGGCUGGCUGGAGAGGGCUGGAGGGGCCUCAGGAGUCAGACCAUGUGGGUUUCUAUCAUGAUCCUCCAUACCCUACAGCCUCUGUUUUCCCAUCUUUCAAGCAGGGAUAACAACAGCACCUACUUUGGAGGGGUUUUGUGGGGAUUCAAUAGUAUGGCUCCGCCCAGGAAAGCCCUGAUGAAGGUAGAACCUGUUAUUUGUGUUUACCAUUGUUAUUAUCAUCCAUAUCAUUAUUCUGCCCACCUGGACUUAUUCUUUGUAAGGCUUGCCUCUCCCUCUGAACAGCCUGUAUAUAAUCUAAGUCUAUCUUUUCUGCACCAAAAUUGGCCAAUUUAUGUGGCACCCCUCACCACCAUCACUGGAUGUGCCUCUAAUCUAAUUAGACUAAUUUCAAUUUCCUGGAUUUAAUUACUUUUAAUUUAAUUAAUUUAGAAUGCAGUAUACUAGGUGAUUAAUUAGGAGACGUUACUGAGGGAUUCGGAAGGGGAAUUGCAGUAUGUAAGUGUUUAAAUAUUAUUGUGGCCAUAGCCACCAGUUGUCACUUUACACAGGAGGCCGCUGAGGCCCUGGGAGGGGCAGAGCUUGGAGAACUGGGAUGGGACAGGGACUCAAACAGAAGUCUCCUGGCAGCAAGCACAGAGCUCUUUCCUUUCACUGCUUUUGGCAACUCCCAGGGGAGGCAAAGAAGAGGCAGCUGAUUCCAGUGACCAGCAAGUUGGAACUAAGUCAUGAAUUGUGGGAGAGUUGACUGUUUCUGUAAUAGCAUACCUUGAGAUCUACUCAGAAAUGGCAGACUGGGAGAGAUGGCACUCCCACUUAUUCCACGUGCUCUCCUACACUUCCCAGCCUCCUAGGUGAGGGCUGUGUGGCUUGUUCUGACCAACGCAGGCACACCUUGGGGAUAUGCAGGUUCCAUUCCAGACCACCCC
This 1097-nucleotide long non-coding RNA is filed under the name Homo sapiens (human). Its description in RNAcentral is "HSALNT0222099". Lineage: Eukaryota; Metazoa; Chordata; Mammalia; Primates; Hominidae. The record is from RNAcentral.